GUGGGGAAUAUUGCGCAAUGGGGGAAACCCUGACGCAGCAACGCCGCGUGGGUGAAGAAGGCCUUCGGGUUGUAAAGCCCUUUCGGCCGGGAAGAAGGGUGCAGAUGCUAAUAUCGUCUGCAUUUGAUGGUACCGGAGGAAGAAGCACCGGCAAACUUCGUGCCAGCAGCCGCGGUAAUACGAAGGGUGCGAGCGUUGUUCGGAAUUAUUGGGCGUAAAGGGUUCGUAGGCGGGAUAGUAAGUUGAUUGUGAAAACCCUGGGCUUAACCUGGGACGUGCAGUCAAGACUGCUAUUCUUGAGUAUGGGAGAGGGUGGUGGAAUUGCUGGUGUAGGAGUGACAUCCGUAGAGAUCAGCAGGAACGCCGGAGGCGAAAGCGACCACCUGGUCCAAAACUGACGCUGAGGAACGAAAGCGUGGGGAGCAAACAGGAUUAGAAACCCCAGUAGUCC
RNAcentral lists this ribosomal RNA (451 nucleotides) under uncultured bacterium. Its description in RNAcentral is "bacterial SSU rRNA". It matches the Rfam family "Bacterial small subunit ribosomal RNA", at positions 354 to 796 of the family's 1533-position model. The record is from RNAcentral.